GGAGUUGGGUCUUAUGAGCUAUGGAACUGGAAUGUUCUCACCUUGUUCACAUGACCUUGAAUUGAACCGUAGAGUGUAGGCGACCGAGGAUGUAUGAUCUGCUUUCAAUAGCGGAGGCAUCGUGUGAGGCUGACCUUUACCAAUUUCCUUUGAGAACGGGAUGUUCGCCUUGGAUAGGUAGAGGCCGAUGGCUGUUGACCACUGUGUCUGAUUGUAUGUUAGCGAGGUUAAUGCAAUUCUAUAGGCGGGGCGAUGGGAGUUGAAGGGGGNAUAGCUGUGGCUACGCUUACUGGAAAUGGAGCCAUUCGUCACGGACCGAGCGCACUUGUGCUGCCGGUGUAUUAUUNGAACUUUGAUCUCAAAUCAGACAAGACUACCCGCUGAACUUAAGCAUAUCAGUAAGCGGAGGAAAAGAAACUAACAAGGAUUCCCCCUAGUAAUGGCGAAUGAAGANGGAAUAGCUCANAUUUGUNAUCCUGGGAGGUUUCCUCCCCCGANUUGUAGUUUUGUAGAAGGCGUUUUUCCGUGGAUCCCGGUGAGUUAAA
RNAcentral lists this ribosomal RNA (545 nucleotides) under uncultured fungus. RNAcentral's name for it is "eukaryotic LSU rRNA". The stretch from base 354 to 545 matches the Rfam family "Eukaryotic large subunit ribosomal RNA", at positions 1 to 190 of the family's 3401-position model. The record is from RNAcentral. Lineage: Eukaryota; Fungi.